UGCACGAGGGUGGAGUCUAAUAUUUUAGGCUAUUUAGCUCCAAUGGUUGUUAAAAAAUAAGUUUGAAGGCUUUGUUAUCUAACGAAGUGAAAUAAUAUCUCGAUAAAGAAUGUUUUUAAAAAAUGCUGAAAGAGAAAUCUGAAUCAUUUGACGGACAUUUAAAAGUCUUGAUGUUUUUUAAACUUUGUCUUUUUGAAUAGGGUUUAUUUUUGUUUCCUUUGUAUGUUAUCAUAUGGGGGGAAUGAAUAGAAUCUGAACGGUCAAUGUAGUAUGAAAUAUUCGUAUUUGAUAUGAAAUUGAUUUUUCUAAAAAGAAAAGUUA
Molecule: unclassified non-coding RNA, 321 nt
Filed under: Lepeophtheirus salmonis (salmon louse)
Lineage: Eukaryota; Metazoa; Arthropoda; Copepoda; Siphonostomatoida; Caligidae
Description: partial external transcribed spacer
Source: RNAcentral